This is an unclassified non-coding RNA of Dasypus novemcinctus (nine-banded armadillo), 454 nucleotides long. The record is from Ensembl. Lineage: Eukaryota; Metazoa; Chordata; Mammalia; Cingulata; Dasypodidae.
CUGGCCUGGCCGGGAGGUGGCCUGGGAAGGGACCUGUGUUCCUCCAGCCUGCGCCCCGGGGGCCUGGGGGUGGGGCCCCAGCAGAUGUCUGGUUUGGUAGCCAGGGCCUGGAGCCGGAUGCUGAGAACGAGGCCUGCAGCUCAUUUCCCCAUUAAACAUUCUGAGAACAUCUGCACCAGUUUCCCUCGCUAAUUGCUUUGAUUAUUGUGUGAAGUUAAGAACUGGCACACAUCCUCGAUGUUGCGAUGAAGGUGAAAAGAUCACUCUUAAUUAGAUUAAAAACAUUUUUUUCUCCCUCUGUAAUUUCGCCUUGAAAAUCAAGGCCAUUUUUUUUUGUUUGCUUCAUCCAAAGACCUCCAAAAACUUUCCUCUCCACCUCUCCAGAGGUUUCUUGGGAAUGUCCUGUGAGCUCAGCUCUUGGAGAAGAUAGUGCUUACCCCAGAUUCCAGCGGCC